AACGACUCUCGGCAACGGAUAUCUCGGCUCUCGCAUCGAUGAAGAACGCAGCGAAAUGCGAUACUUGGUGUGAAUUGCAGAAUCCCGUGAACCAUCGAGUUUUUGAACGCAAGUUGCGCCCAAAGCCUUUCGGCUGAGGGCACGUCUGCCUGGGUGUCACAC
This 162-nucleotide ribosomal RNA is filed under the name Croton guianensis. RNAcentral describes it as "5.8S ribosomal RNA". It matches the Rfam family "5.8S ribosomal RNA". From Rfam's summary of the family: 5.8S ribosomal RNA (5.8S rRNA) is a component of the large subunit of the eukaryotic ribosome. Lineage: Eukaryota; Viridiplantae; Streptophyta; Magnoliopsida; Malpighiales; Euphorbiaceae. The record is from RNAcentral.